This is a long non-coding RNA of Pieris napi, 411 nucleotides long. RefSeq lists it as uncharacterized. The record is from RefSeq and is a predicted model, not a curated record. The transcript has 3 exons. Lineage: Eukaryota; Metazoa; Arthropoda; Insecta; Lepidoptera; Pieridae.
UUUUAAUAAAACAAAAUGGUCGAAAUAAAAUGAAGAAUAUUAAAAAAAAGAUAAACUGUGAAAAUAUCUCAAAAAUGAUUUAUCGGAUGGAAAAUAAUUAGCAAGAAUUAUAUAGAAAUAUGCUUAACCAAAGCAUAGCGAGGAAAAUUAUUAAAACCCAUCUGGCAAUGGGGCCGCUUAAAGCACGAAACAAGGGAUACCUAACAUCUGGAUAUAUUGUACAAAAUUUAAGAAUAUUAUCUUAACAAAAAGAUUAUUAUGUCACGCUAAAAGUGAUUCUCUCAGCAAAUGGUCUAAGGAUUCAAACUAAACAGGAUGGAUAGGUAUCUUAAAUUUUCAAAAUAUUACUAAAGCCAUCAGCGGUAGUUGUCAAGAAUGAGGAAGAAAAUGACCAAUUAUUGAAAUGUUAAG